Long non-coding RNA from Zalophus californianus (California sea lion), 1146 nucleotides. RefSeq lists it as uncharacterized. Lineage: Eukaryota; Metazoa; Chordata; Mammalia; Carnivora; Otariidae. The transcript is spliced from 3 exons. The record is from RefSeq and is a predicted model, not a curated record.
UUCCCAAUGAGAUUCUGAUGCUCUUUCUCCAGAUGUAGAAGUAGAGGGUCAGAAAGGUCGGGUAACCUACCCAACAACCCAAAACACAGUCCAGAUCUAAAUCCCAUGUUCUCAAGUGCUGCAUUGUCUCUUGAAUGUAGAGGGGCUUCUCAUGAAAAUAAAUAAGAAAGGCCUGGAAGGGGUGUAGGCAGCUAAAGAGGAGGACAGCCUGGUUCUGGUUAAUGAGGUUCUGGUUGCAGACAAAGAGCAGCCUCUGUGAGAGGGUACUGGAAAUGAAGUAAGGUCCUCAGGGUUUUCACCCACAUCAUAAAAUAAGGAUUGAGCGAAGUGGGUUUGCAAAGGGAAAGGGCUCUCAAGGAUCCUGUGGAAUGGAGGGAAGAGGCUGGAGAGCAGGAAGAAAAUGAGCAAGGAAAGGGGGUGAGGCUUCCCAGCAGCCAUGGGGAUAAAAGAAUGAAUGUGUGGUUGACCGAACGCAAGUAUCUACUUUGGGAAGUAUAUGCAGACUCUGAGAAUGAGCAGCUUGGACAGAAUCAGAGGGGCUGAACUUCUCAGGUGUGUCAGGAAGUACUCAACCAGAAUGAAUCUAUGGUACUUAUUAUAUUCCUCUCAGUUUUCUGAGUACUCUUCUCCCUGGAGAGACUUCUACUCACUAGUAUAGCCUGUUUGCCCCUCAUCAAGUUCUGGCAUAAUCCCCAGUUCCUCUGGAAAUUCCCACCUCGCUGCUAUUAGCUGAGCUACAUCUGCUGCAAAGGCCAGGGGCAAGAACAUAAAUCAUGAUCAGCAGUGGAAGGAGAGGAGUGCCUGUGCAAGAAGACCACAGAUGGAUUUUCCAGGAGGAGAGUUAAAAGUUUGAAGAUUCUGGGCCAAGGGAAGCUGCUCUGAGACUUGCUGAACUAUGUGGACAGCUGGUUUCCACCACGCCUGGAUGUCCUCAGCCAAAUACGCAAAUACAUCAGAAACUUCAGGACCGUGACAGGUGGUUAGCAUGGAUAGAAGACCAGAUCAGCUGCAAAGUGAAGAAGGCUCAAGUUAUCUGUACAUCUGGAUUAUUAUACUACAAUUACAGUAGGUUAACAUGUAUUAUCAAUUUCCAAGUGUGAAAGACUGUGUAGUGUUUUCACACUUAUUUCAACACAGGACCCUGUC